This is a long non-coding RNA of Macaca fascicularis (crab-eating macaque), 3634 nucleotides long. NCBI's taxonomy places the organism in Eukaryota, Metazoa, Chordata, Mammalia, Primates, Cercopithecidae. The record is from Ensembl.
UUUUUUUUUUUUUUUUUUUUUAAAGCGACAGGGUCUUACUCUGUUGCCCAGGCUAGAGUGCAGUGAUGUGAUCAUAGCUCACUGCUGCCUCGAAUGCUGGGGCUCAAGUGAUCUCACCUCAGCCUCCCAAGAAGCUCGGACUAUAGGCACAUGCCACCAUACCUGGAAUUUUAAAAUUGUUUGUAGAGACAAGGUCUUGUUAUGUUGCCCAGGAUGGUCUCAAACUUCUGGCCUCAGGAAAUCCUCCUGCCUCAGCCUUGUAAAGUGCUAGGAUUACAGGUAUGAGCCACCAUGGCUGGCCUAGAGCCUGGUCUUUUAGAGUCUGAUGGAUUUGAGGAUGGAGCUCAGUGCUAUCCCUCACCAGCUGUGUUACUGUGGGCAAAAUUGCUUAUUUUUUUAAUCCUCCCUUUUCUCAUCUCCAGAAUAACAAGAUUGCAAAAUAAUAAUUCCCUCUAGGGUGCCUGUGUCAGUUAAUGAGAUCGUGAAUAGGGACACGCUUAGCACUCAGUAUCUUCCUGCAGCUUGCCAAAAUAGCCACAGUGUAUACAAAAAUGUAAGUAUCUUUCUGUAUAACUGGGCUACAAACGAUGGUAGAAAACAUAAUCAUACCACUCCAAGGUCAUUUCACAUCUUCAUGUUUACACAGGCUAUUCUGAAAUAGUCAUUCGAUUGAGAAAUUAAAUUCUGUUUUCAACAUUCACAUAUGCUCUCUUGUACAUUCUCUCCUCUCAAGCACUCCCUCUCCCUUUCCUCUGAUUUUGCCUCAGAAUUACGGUUGUCAACGAAAGGAGUCAAACUCUGUAAAAUAUUUGAAGAGAUGUAUUCUGAGCCAAAUAUGAGUAACCAAUGGCCCAUAACACAGCCUUCAGGAGAUCCCAAAAACAUGUGCCCAAGGUGGUCAGGCUACAACUUGGUUUUACACAUUUUAGGGGCAUAAAAGACAUUAAUCAAUACAAAUAAGAUGUACAUUGGUUCAGUCUGGGAAGGUAGGACAACUGGAAGCCAGGGGCUUCCAGGUCAUAAGCAGAUUCAAAUACUUUCUGAGUGGCAAUUGGUUGAAAGGGUUAAGUUAUUGUCUAAAGACUUAGAAUCAAUGGAAAGGAAUGUCUGGGCUAAGAUAAGGGAUUAUGGAGACCAAGUUUUUAUCAUGCAGGCAAAGUCUCCAGAUAGCUGGCUUCAGAGAGAAUACAUUAUAAAUGCUUCUUAUCAGACUUAAAGAGUCUUCUCAGUAAUUUCAAAAGGCAGGAGGGUAUAAUGAGGCAUGUCCGACCCCACUUCCCAUCAUGGCCUGAACUAGUUUUUCAGGUUAACUUCGGAAUUUACUUUGCCAAGAGGAUGGGUCCAUUCCAGCGGUUGGAGGGCUUAGAAUUUUAUUUUUGGUUUACACAGUCUUCGUGCAGGGAAGCACUUAAAAAAAAAAAAUGAAGGAACAAGGGAAUGUGUGUCAGGUCUGGGUGCUGGUGGCUGGGCCCUGCUGGCUUCUAUAGGGGCAUUUCACCCCUUUGGGUCUUUGGUUUAGGCUUCAGUCCUGCUGCAUCCUCUGCUGGGGUUGUUUAGUCACCCCCGCCUUUGGAUGCAAGUGAGCAUCUGGGCCCACUGUCCUCCUAUGAGGCCUCUGGUCCAGAUGUCCUCACCCUAUGCUCACCUCAUCCCAUCCCUGGCCACUCUCAGUCUCUGGCUCUCUGUAUCACUUAUCUAUUACUGCUAGAACAAAUGACUGCAAACUUAGUGGCUCAAAAUAAAAACUUUUCUUAGAGGUCUAGAUGUUAGAAGUCCAAAGCAGGUCUCACGGGGCUAAAAUCAAGGUGCUGGCAAGACUUGGUUUUAUACAUUUUAGGGACACAAAAGACAUUAAUCAAUACAAAUAAGAUGUACAUUGGUUCAGUCUUUCUGAAGGCUCUAGGGGGGAACCUGUCUCCCUGCCUUUUCCUGCUUCUGGAGGCUCUUACUUGUCUUUUAUUAUCUGAUUUUCUUGCCUCCCUCUUUUAAGGACCCUUUUGAUUAUAUCAGACCCACCCGGAUAAUCCAGGAUAAUUGCCCCAACUCAGGAUUCUGUAAGCCAAAACAAAACUCCCAGGCCCCCCAACAGACUGAACAGGGAGUCAAGUGAAACCUGAAAAAUGAUAUUCACAAUCAUGAUGGAAAGGAAGGGAGGUUGGACACACCUCGUUAUACCCUCUCCCUUUUGGAGUUCAGCAGAACUAACCAGCAUUAACACUAAAAUAGAGAUCACGAGACUGACAAAACAAACUACGGCAAUAAGAGAUCAAAUUCCAUCCUGACUCUGGUGUAGCAUCAUAUGACAGAUAUCAGACCCUGAAGGAAAUCAAAAUAUUUUACCCCAAAAUACAUUUCUCUGACAUUUUGAAAUGGCCCUGCAAAGCUGUCUUUUGUGGGGAAAAUUCUGCAUCUGUAGAGAACUUCCAUUAAUGCAGCCCAGUCUUUCUGGGAUCUAGGAGAGAUUAACUAAGAGUCUGACAACUUUAAGGUCUGAAAAGAGACAUUUACCAUCUAUUCUCGCUGAAGCCUGCUGCCUGGAGGCUUCAUCUACAUAGUAAGAACCUUGGCUUUCACAACUCCCCCCACCCACUUAUCUUAACUAAAGCAUUUCUUUCUACUAACUUCAAGUCUGUAGUUUAACUCUUUCAACCCAUUGCCAAUCAGACAAUUUUUGAAUCCACCUAUGACCUGUAAGCUCCCCAACUCUUUGAGAUGUCUCACCUUUCCAGGCCAAAUCAAUCUAUUCCUUACAUGUAUUGAUCUAUGUCUUUGCCUGUAACUUUUGUCUCCCUUAACCAUAUAAAACCAAACUGUAACCUGACCUCCUUGAGCACACUUUCUCAGGACCCCCUGAGACUCUUCCUGGAGCCACGGUCACUCAUAUUGGCUUAGAAUAAACUCCUUUACAUAUUUUACAGUUUGGGUUUUUCGUUUACAAUUAUUAAUCACGUUUGCCAAGUAAGGUCACAUAUUCACAGGUUCUGGGGGUUAGGAUGUGGACAUCUUUGGGGGGGCAAUUGUUCCGCCUUCCAUACCAUCCUAUUAUUCCCAAUCCCUUUCUGGGACAAGCAGCACACACUGGAUUCCCCCAGGUCACUGAUGGGUCAUGGGGAAGUGGAGGUGCUACUUUACGCUGUCCUACUGCUCAAAGUGCCAAACUGCCUCUCCUCUUCCAUGCAGCUGCCUCGUGGGGGUGAGAGGCACCAGGUGAGGCCUCUUAUCUCAGAUAUUCAAGUGGAAAGAGUGGCACAAGCCUAUCUGGGGUGUGUGUUAUAUGACAUCAUGCCUGGGGUACAUAGUAGGCAUGAAUAAAGAGCACUGGGGAAUUUUCAGGCUAAGCCUUGAUGUGACAAUCCUGCAUUCCCCAAUCCUUCCCUGUUCCCACUAUAAUCAGGACCAACAGAGCUGAAUCCUACAGGUAGUGAGCUGGGCUUGAUUAGGAAAUGAGAAGGUUCUGGGUGUGAUGAUCUAGGUUCUAUAUAGGUAGGCUCAGAUGCGCGCUGGGCCUGCUAGCUGUAUUGGAGUUGAUCUGAGAAGGUGAGUUCAAGCUCUGUUUCAGUGGGUGGCAGGGAAAGUUUUGUUCAAGACAGAUCUGGAAAACAGAGUCUCACACUUUGACACAUAGGGAGAGACC